AAAACGACUCUCGGCAACGGAUAUCUCGGCUCUCGCAUCGAUGAAGAACGUAGCGAAAUGCGAUACUUGGUGUGAAUUGCAGAAUCCCGUGAACCAUCGAGUCUUUGAACGCAAGUUGCGCCCCAAGCCUUCAGGCCGAGGGCACGUCUGCCUGGGUGUCACGC
This 164-nucleotide ribosomal RNA is filed under the name Glycosmis craibii var. glabra. Its description in RNAcentral is "5.8S ribosomal RNA". It matches the Rfam family "5.8S ribosomal RNA". From Rfam's summary of the family: 5.8S ribosomal RNA (5.8S rRNA) is a component of the large subunit of the eukaryotic ribosome. It is transcribed by RNA polymerase I as part of the 45S precursor that also contains 18S and 28S rRNA. Functionally, it is thought that 5.8S rRNA may be involved in ribosome translocation. The record is from RNAcentral. Lineage: Eukaryota; Viridiplantae; Streptophyta; Magnoliopsida; Sapindales; Rutaceae.